This 33-nucleotide non-coding RNA is filed under the name Plasmodium falciparum 3D7. Lineage: Eukaryota; Apicomplexa; Aconoidasida; Haemosporida; Plasmodiidae. The record is from RNAcentral.
CAUUACAAAAUCUCAUGAAUUCAUCAAAAUACG